This is a non-coding RNA of Acanthosepion pharaonis, 113 nucleotides long. NCBI's taxonomy places the organism in Eukaryota, Metazoa, Mollusca, Cephalopoda, Sepiida, Sepiidae. The record is from the annotation of a GenBank genome assembly.
UACAGUCAUACCACAUUGAAACAUCAGUUCUGAUAUAAUCACCAAAGUUAAGCAAUGUUGAGCCUAGUCAGUACCUACAUGGGUGAUCACUUGGGAAGACCAGGUCCUGUAAG